Long non-coding RNA from Zingiber officinale, 985 nucleotides. RefSeq lists it as uncharacterized. Lineage: Eukaryota; Viridiplantae; Streptophyta; Magnoliopsida; Zingiberales; Zingiberaceae. The transcript is spliced from 4 exons. The record is from RefSeq and is a predicted model, not a curated record.
AGUUCCCACAUCGCCGAAACCAAUCUUCCCCGAGCUUCACCUCGCGACGCCGCCUCCCCUCCUUCGCCAGUCCUGUUCUCCCCAAGCCAUCGUCGUUCUCUUCUCCCUCGAGCCACAACCACUGGUGAUCUCUCCUCCUCACGCGAGCAACUCCCUCUCGCGAUUGCCUCACCAAAAUCGUCGAGCCACAGCCGCCGGUUUCCUCUUUUCCCUCACACGUACGAGCACCAGCCAAUCUCCGUCUUGUGAGUUCCCCACACUCUAGUCGACCUCUCUUCCUCACACGAGCACCCCCGGAUGCCGCCGGCCUCACCUCCUCAUGCCAACGUCAGAGAUGCCUCACCACCGCAGGUUGCAACGAGCCAGUGGCCAACGCGACGCCUUUCCAUCACUUGUUGUCAUGCCCUAAUAUCGAGUCCCCUGGCGAUUUCCUCCUUUGUUGGUCACUAGGGUUCGUUGAGGUGGGUUCCAGCCAGAGAGGAAGCUGUGGACACAAGCCUUGCCUUGCUCAGGCCAUAGUAGCUUCACCAGCAGCUAGUCCAGAUGGGUAUCUCAGCUGAUCAUCAUGGGCUGCCACUGUAGAGGAAGUUCGAUGUUUGAUUUAGGAUUUUGGAUUUGAGACGAGCCGCUUGACAUGGAGAUUGUCUAAUACGAUCUACGUAUAAAGAUAAAGGUAAAGGGAAGAUGGAAUAGCGGAGGCUGGAGGGCAAUGCAACCAGAUGUGUGUGAGAAGGAACUUGGAAUAAAGAUCUUGGUGGCUAGCAAGUCUAAAGAAUUAGAACUCUUUAUAGUUUAUUUUCCGCACCUUUACUUAUCUAAAUGUUAUGAAUCGUAAAAGUAAGCACUAAGUAUGCCUAGACUUCCAGUUACUUGAUGUUAGUCGGUAAAUUAUGAAUCAUGACAUGCUUUGUAAUAGUACAAUGUUAUUUAGUUGAUACAUUUCGAGUUGUACAUGAAAUUAUUGAAUUGUAGCAGAAAUCAGAGC